Molecule: long non-coding RNA, 403 nt
Filed under: Carica papaya (papaya)
Lineage: Eukaryota; Viridiplantae; Streptophyta; Magnoliopsida; Brassicales; Caricaceae
Description: long non-coding RNA (CPAP_LNC006896)
Source: RNAcentral
AAGGGGUGAAAAUUUGGGUUCUUGGGGUAUUUUUGAAAGAAAAAUUAAAAAUCGGGGGUCAAAACGCAAUUUAAAAAAAUUGCACCACGUCAGCUGCCCGGUCAGUAGCCCCGGCCAACUAGGAUGCGCCGCGUGGCAGAGACGCUGACGCGGGAGGCCACGCCAAAGGGAGUCAUAUGGGCGAUCCGUGUGCGCGCGAUCGAACGGCUGAGAUCUGUUCCCGCGCACACGGAUGGCCCAGAUAAUAAAUACCCAUGGACGGCUCAGAUUGCAUCGUGCACGGACGGCCCAGAUUGAAUCACGCACGGACAGCCCAGAUUGAAUCGCGAUGAAUGGUCCAGAUUUAUUUCCUAUUUAUUUGCGAUCGGACGGUCCAGAUUAAAUGUGAUGGACGGCUCAGAUC